Molecule: ribosomal RNA, 739 nt
Filed under: uncultured archaeon ST1-29
Lineage: Archaea
Description: bacterial SSU rRNA
Rfam family: Archaeal small subunit ribosomal RNA
Source: RNAcentral
GGGUCCGGCAUAACCCCGGGAAACUGGGGAUAAUUCCGGAUAACGCACAUAUGCUGGAAUGCUUUAUGCGUAAAAUGGAUUCGUCUGCCCAAGGAUGGGUCUGCGGCCUAUCAGGUAGUAGUGGGUGUAAUGUACCUACUAACCAACAACGGGUACGGGUUGUGAGAGCAAGAGCCCGGAGAUGGAUUCUGAGACAUGAAUCCAGGCCCUACGGGGCGCAGCAGGCGCGAAAACUUUACAAUGCGGGAAACCGUGAUAAGGGGACACCGAGUGCCAGCAUCAUAUGCUGGCUGUCCGGGUGUGUAAAAUACACCCGUUAGCAAGGGCCGGGCAGGACCGGUGCCAGCCGCCGCGGUAACACCGGCGGCCCGAGUGGUGAUCGUGAUUAUUGGGUCUAAAGGGUCCGUAGCCGGUUUGGUCAGUCCUCCGGGAAAUCUGACGGCUCAACCGUUAGGCUUUCGGGGGAUACUGCCAGGCUUGGAACCGGGAGAGGUAAGAGGUACUACAGGGGUAGGAGUGAAAUCUUGUAAUCCCUGUGAGACCACCUGUGGCGAAGGCGUCUUACCAGAACGGGUUCGACGGUGAGGGACGAAAGCUGGGGGCACGAACCGGAUUAGAUACCCGGGUAGUCCCAGCCGUAAACGAUGCUCGCUAGGUGUCAGGCAUGGCGCGACCGUGUCUGGUGCCGCAGGGAAGCCGUGAAGCGAGCCACCUGGGAAGUACGGCCGCAAGGCUGAAA